RNAcentral lists this ribosomal RNA (253 nucleotides) under uncultured bacterium. RNAcentral describes it as "partial 16S ribosomal RNA". It matches the Rfam family "Bacterial small subunit ribosomal RNA", at positions 524 to 776 of the family's 1533-position model. The record is from RNAcentral.
UACAGAGGGGGCAAGCGUUGUUCGGAAUUACUGGGCGUAAAGGGCGCGUAGGCGGUCUUGCAAGUCCUGUGUGAAAUCCCUCGGCUCAACUGAGGAACUGCACAGGAAACUGCUUGGCUUGAGUUCGGGAGAGGGAAGCGGAAUUCCGGGUGUAGCGGUGAAAUGCGUAGAUAUCUGGAGGAAUACCGGUGGCGAAGGCGGCAUCCUGGACUAACACUGACGCUGAGGCGCGAAAGCUAGGGGAGCAAACGGG